RNAcentral lists this ribosomal RNA (218 nucleotides) under uncultured bacterium. RNAcentral's name for it is "partial 16S ribosomal RNA". It matches the Rfam family "Bacterial small subunit ribosomal RNA", at positions 125 to 334 of the family's 1533-position model. The record is from RNAcentral.
CCGUAGCCCAUCAGAGGGGGAUAACACUUGGAAACAGGUGCUAAUACCGCAUAACAGUUUAUGCCGCAUGGCAUAAGAGUGAAAGGCGCUUUCGGGUGUCGCUGAUGGAUGGACCCGCGGUGCAUUAGCUAGUUGGUGAGGUAACGGCUCACCAAGGCCACGAUGCAUAGCCGACCUGAGAGGGUGAUCGGCCACACUGGGACUGAGACACGGCCCAG